UCCCAGACUCCUACGGGAGGCAGCAGUGGGGAAUAUUGCACAAUGGGGGAAACCCUGAUGCAGCGACGCCGCGUGGGCGACGAAGCGCUCCGGCGCGUAAAGCCCUGUCAGCAGGGAAGAACAAAGACAGUACCUGACUAAGAAGCCCCGGCUAACUACGUGCCAGCAGCCGCGGUAAUACGUAGGGGGCAAGCGUUAUCCGGAUUUACUGGGUGUAAAGGGAGCGUAGACGGCAGUGCAAGUCCGGAGUGAAAGCCCGGGGCUCAACCCUGGGACUGCUCUGGAAACUGUAAAGCUGGAGUGCGGGAGGGGCAGGCGGAAUUCCUGGUGUAGCGGUGAAAUGCGUAGAUAUCAGGAGGAACACCGGCGGCGAAGGCGGCCUGCUGGACCGUAACUGACGUUGAGGCUCGAAAGCGUGGGGAGCAAACAGGAUUAGAUACCCUUGUAGA
This 449-nucleotide ribosomal RNA is filed under the name uncultured bacterium. Its description in RNAcentral is "bacterial SSU rRNA". It matches the Rfam family "Bacterial small subunit ribosomal RNA", at positions 329 to 794 of the family's 1533-position model. The record is from RNAcentral.